UACCUGCAGCUCAAGUGGUGGCCGUUAUUAUUGGGCCUAAAACGUCCGUAGCCGGUUUAUUAAAUGCCUGGGUAAAUCGGGCCGCUUAACGGUUCGAAUUCCGGGUAGACUGAUAGACUUGGGACCGGGAGAGGCUAGAGGUACUCCUGGGGUAGAGGUGAAAUUCUGUAAUCCUAGGGGGACCACCAGUGGCGAAAGCGUCUAGCUAGAACGGGUCUGACGGUGAGGGACGAAGCCCUGGGGCGCAAACCGGAUUAGAUACCCGGGUAGUCCUGGGUGUAAACGCUGCUUGCUUGAUGUUAGUCGGGCUCCGAGCCCGAUUAGUGUCGGAGAGAAGUUGUUAAGCAAGCUGCCUGGGAAGUACGGCCGCAAGACUGAAACUUAAAGGAAUUGGCGGGGAGCACAGCAACGGGUGGAGCGUGCGGUUU
RNAcentral lists this ribosomal RNA (428 nucleotides) under uncultured archaeon. RNAcentral's name for it is "bacterial SSU rRNA". It matches the Rfam family "Archaeal small subunit ribosomal RNA", at positions 474 to 903 of the family's 1478-position model. The record is from RNAcentral.